UACGUAGGAUGCAAGCGUUGUCCGGAAUUACUGGGCGUAAAGCGUGUGCAGGCGGUUUUUUGCGUCGGUGGUGAAAUCUCCUGGCUUAACUGGGAGGGUGCCGUCGAAACGGGGAGACUUGAGGGCUUGAGAGGGACAUAGAACUCCCGGUGGAACAGUGAAAUGUGUAGAGAUCGGGAAGAAUACCAGAGGUGAAGACGGUGUCCUGGCAAGUGCCUGACGCUCAGACACGAAAGCUUGGGGAGCGAACAGG
RNAcentral lists this ribosomal RNA (253 nucleotides) under uncultured bacterium. RNAcentral's name for it is "partial 16S ribosomal RNA". It matches the Rfam family "Bacterial small subunit ribosomal RNA", at positions 524 to 776 of the family's 1533-position model. The record is from RNAcentral.